GCCUUAAGAAGCUAAUUAGCAUUGGUCUUGUAAACCAAAAAUUGGAUACUCAACAUCCCUAGGGCU
Molecule: transfer RNA, 66 nt
Filed under: Lamellidens marginalis
Lineage: Eukaryota; Metazoa; Mollusca; Bivalvia; Unionida; Unionidae
Description: tRNA-Thr
Source: RNAcentral